GCGAACGCUGGCGGCAGGCCUAACACAUGCAAGUCGAACGAACUCUUCGGAGUUAGUGGCGGACGGGUGAGUAACACGUGGGAACGUGCCUUUAGGUUCGGAAUAACUCAGGGAAACUUGUGCUAAUACCGAAUGUGCCCUUCGGGGGAAAGAUUUAUCGCCUUUAGAGCGGCCCGCGUCUGAUUAGCUUGUUGGUGGGGUAAUGGCCCACCAAGGCUACGAUCAGUAGCUGGUCUGAGAGGAUGACCAGCCACAUUGGGACUGAGACACGGCCCAGACUCCUACGGGAGGCAGCAGUGGGGAAUAUUGGACAAUGGGCGCAAGCCUGAUCCAGCCAUGCCGCGUGUGUGAUGAAGGCCUUAGGGUUGUAAAGCACUUUCGCCGGUGAAGAUAAUGACGGUAACCGGAGAAGAAGCCCCGGCUAACUUCGU
This 431-nucleotide ribosomal RNA is filed under the name uncultured bacterium. RNAcentral's name for it is "bacterial SSU rRNA". It matches the Rfam family "Bacterial small subunit ribosomal RNA", at positions 29 to 506 of the family's 1533-position model. The record is from RNAcentral.